Molecule: transfer RNA, 74 nt
Filed under: Escherichia coli
Lineage: Bacteria; Pseudomonadati; Pseudomonadota; Gammaproteobacteria; Enterobacterales; Enterobacteriaceae
Description: tRNA-Glu
Rfam family: tRNA
About the family: Transfer RNA (tRNA) molecules are approximately 80 nucleotides in length.
Source: RNAcentral
GUCUGUCUUCGACUACGCCCAGACACCGCCCUUUCACGGCGGUAACAGGGGUUCGAAUCCCCUAGGGGACGCCA